AAAUAACAAUACAGGACUUUACGGUUUUGUAAUUGGAAUGAGUUAAGUAUAAACCCCUUUACAAGUAUCAAUUGGAGGGCAAGUCUGGUGCCAGCAGCCGCGGUAAUUCCAGCUCCAAUAGCGUAUAUUAAAGUUGUUGCAGUUAAAAAGCUCGUAGUUGGAUUUCUGUUAAUACCUUAUAUAUAAUAUUUUUUUUUAAAUAUUAUUAUGUAAGAUUAACAUAAUUCAUAUUUUUUAAGACUGAAUUUUUAGUUUUGAUAAUAUGAAAUUUUACUUUGAGAAAAUUAGAGUGCUUAAAGCAGGCUUUUGCCUUGAAUACUCCAGCAUGGAAUAAUAAUAAAAGAUUUUUAUCUUUUUUUUAUUGGUUCUAAGAUAAAAAUAAUGAUUAAUAGGGACAGUUGGGGGCAUUUGUAUUUAACAGUCAGAGGUGAUAUUCUUAGAUUUGUUAAAGACAAACUAAUGCGAAAGCA
Molecule: ribosomal RNA, 470 nt
Filed under: Cryptosporidium felis
Lineage: Eukaryota; Apicomplexa; Conoidasida; Eucoccidiorida; Cryptosporidiidae
Description: partial 18S ribosomal RNA
Rfam family: Eukaryotic small subunit ribosomal RNA
Source: RNAcentral